UCUAGGAGUAGACCAGAAUUACAGGACAAAACUGAGGACUGGAUUGAUGUCACUGUAACAAACAAGGUUUCUUUCUCACCUCUUUUAGCUCUCUCCUCCACUUCCCUGCACCACCUUUUGAAAGGCAGAGAACACAGCAAAAUAAACUGUAAUACUCUGUUUUUAAUUAUCCUUGCUCAGCAAAUUUCCCCUUAUUAUUCAAUAGUUGUGGCAGACAACCACGACCCGCCACCCGUCUUUAAAGCUGUCUUAAGAGAAACAAGAGGUCUUAAGCACCUGGCCGUGUUACCUUUACUCACUACCUCUGGAGCGCAGGUACACGGGCCAAGCUCGGCACCCCAGCGCCCAGGGAAGCGGGGCCCGGCCGAGUCCUCGGCUUUCCCGCCGCCGGAGCUGCCGUGCGUGUCUCCCUUCUCCCUCUGGAGGGAGACACAGUCCAGUGUUUGGCUGCCGCCGGCGCCGCCGCGUCCCUCCUGCCCCUGCUCCGGCGGCCGCGGCCCCCCUUCCCCGGGGCAGCUGCCCUGCCCGGCCCGGCCCCUCAGCUCCCUCCCGGCCCGCUGCCCCAGCCUCGCACCGCAGGGCCAGAGGGGUCCCGGGGAGAGCGGCGGGGCCGCCCCGGGUCCGCGGGGAUCUCCCCGGCCACACGCGCCUGGGCGUCAACUUCGCACCCCCGCCCCGCCGCUCGGAGCGGAGAGGAGCGGAGAGAAGGGAGGGCAGGGCAGGGGAGGGGAAGGGAGAGCUGCGCCGCGGAGCGGAGCGGGCGGCGGAGGGAGGCGGCCCAAGCCCAAGCCCCAGCGUGCGGGGGCGGCGAGUGCUGCUCGGUCAGACAGAGCGGCGGCCGCUGGGACCUGCUCCCUCGCAAGGGCUGGGAAGGAGAGCCCCGAGUGGCCGGAUAAAUACGGGGGAGGAGAAGGGCGUCUCUCCCUCUCCCCACCUCCCUCCACCUCCUCCCUCCCCCCCGCCGCGGAGGGCGCGCUUGGAACUGCCUCUCUGUGUCCGGGCGCCCAGGGCGUCUCCGCGCCCUUCCGCGGUGCGGUGCGGUGCGGUGCGGUGCGCGCAGGCUGGGCGCGGGAGGCUGCUGCUGCUGCUGCUGCUGCUGCUGCUGCUGCUGAAGGUGAAGCUCUCGCUCUCCAAUUACUUUUCCCAAGAGAGAGAAGGAGGCAGCAGGAGGGGGAAGUCGUGCUGUGUGUGGAAGGCACACCAAUCAGAGAUGCUCUAACGGAGGGACUGCUGCAGGACGCGCCGGCUUCUCCUCCUUCCUCUGCCGGCGGGGCUGAAUCGGGACCACGCGCAGCUGGCGUAGGGGCCGGAGCCGUACUGGGCUGCAGGACUUACCCAUCUCCGCUUUUCCAUUAG
Molecule: long non-coding RNA, 1356 nt
Filed under: Junco hyemalis (dark-eyed junco)
Lineage: Eukaryota; Metazoa; Chordata; Aves; Passeriformes; Passerellidae
Description: lncRNA (ENSJHYG00000000381.1)
Source: RNAcentral